Molecule: long non-coding RNA, 319 nt
Organism: Rhinichthys klamathensis goyatoka
Lineage: Eukaryota; Metazoa; Chordata; Actinopteri; Cypriniformes; Leuciscidae
Exons: 3
Source: RefSeq, a predicted model, not a curated record
GGAGAACUACACGAAUGAGGGCUUCGACAUGGAUGAGUGUUUCUCUGAGAGGCACCAUAGCAAAAUGGACGAUCGCAGUAGUAAAGGUUCUGCUCUAAACUCUAUGCUUCAAGAGUUGUUUGAAGAAAAGAUUUCUACUCAGAAGAAAAAUCACUGGAUACUUGGCCCUGAUGACCUCAAUGACACUCUUGUUCAUGAUUUUGAGCUAGAAGAAGCAGCGUGAGCUCUGCAUCAGUGCCUGCAUGGUUUUGCAUUCACCUGUGAAUAAAAGUUGCAGGUGAAACUUCAGUUUUUAAAAAUGACUUUAGCUAAUAAUAAA